AUUGAACGCUGGCGGCAUGCUUUACACAUGCAAGUCGAGCGGUAACAGGGUGCUUGCACCGCUGACGAGUGGCGAACGGGUGAGUAAUGCGUCGGAACGUGCCGAGUAGUGGGGGAUAACGCAGCGAAAGUUGUGCUAAUACCGCAUACGUACUGAGGUAGAAAGUGGGGGACCUUCGGGCCUCACGCUAUUCGAGCGGCCGACGUCUGAUUAGCUAGUAGGUGAGGUAAAGGCUCACCUAGGCGACGAUCAGUAGCGGGUCUGAGAGGAUGAUCCGCCACGCUGGGGAUGAGACACGGCCAAGACUCCUACGGGAGGCAGCAGUGGGGAAUUUUGGACAAUGGGCGAAAGCCUGAUCCAGCCAUGCCGCGUGUCUGAAGAAGGCCUUCGGGUUGUAAAGGACUUUUGUCAGGGAGGAAGUCCCUAGCGUUAAUACCGCUGGGGGAUGACAGUACCUGAAGAAUAAGCACCGGCUAACUACGUGCCAGCAGCCGCCGUAA
Molecule: ribosomal RNA, 500 nt
Filed under: uncultured bacterium
Lineage: Bacteria
Description: partial 16S ribosomal RNA
Rfam family: Bacterial small subunit ribosomal RNA
Source: RNAcentral